CACGUAUAUAAAACCAUUUGUCAAUCUUGAACUCGAUCCACUGUGCCAACAAAAAAAGUACAAACUGUCGUGUUGUCUUGCAUUUAUGUUUAGUAAAUAUAUUUUCAGAGGUCUUCGACUUGAUAUGACCUCAUUAAAUUCUUUCCAAAAACACAUACUCAUUGUACCAUUAAAAUUAUAGUGUUUAUUAGCUCAAAGAAGUGCAUAAGCAAGCUAAACACGGAUCAAACGAUAUUUCAGAAGAGAAGAUUCAUAUUCGACCUGCACGCGUCGCAUAUAAAAUAUGUAUAUUAACAUUUGAACAGAAAUUAUGAAAAAGUACACCUUUAUAGUAAAUAUGAAUACGAUGUCGAUAAUGCAUGGUGAUAUGGAGCAUUUACGUUUCUAAAUUUAUAUAUUAGAUGAUACCGAUGCAGUGCUUAACUGCGGUGGAUACAUCCCAGAGACUAUAGAAAUCAAACACCGGAAAAUAUUCAAAACGGAAUGCGGAAAAUUGUAUUAUACACGAACAAUUCCUAUAUGCAAGUAUAUAUAGGCUUUAUAUUAGCUAUACAUAUACACAUA
Long non-coding RNA from Aphis gossypii (cotton aphid), 564 nucleotides. RefSeq lists it as uncharacterized. Lineage: Eukaryota; Metazoa; Arthropoda; Insecta; Hemiptera; Aphididae. The record is from RefSeq and is a predicted model, not a curated record. The transcript has 4 exons.